ACUUCCUACGGGAGGCAGCAGUGGGGAAUAUUGGACAAUGGGGGCAACCCUGAUCCAGCCAUGCCGCGUGAGUGAAGAAGGCCCUAGGGUCGUAAAGCUCUUUCAACUGUGAAGAUAAUGACGGUAGCAGUAGAAGAAACCCCGGCUAACUCCGUGCCAGCAGCCGCGGUAAUACGGAGGGGGUUAGCGUUGUUCGGAAUUACUGGGCGUAAAAGCGCACGUAGGCGGACUAUUAAGUUAGAGGUGAAAAUCCCAGGGCUCAACCCUGGAACUGCCUUUAAUACUGGUAGUCUUGAGUUCGAGAGAGGUGAGUGGAAUUCCGAGUGUAGAGGUGAAAUUCGUAGAUAUUCGGAGGAACACCAGUGGCGAAGGCGGCUCACUGGCUCGAUACUGACGCUGAGGUGCGAAAGUGUGGGGAGCAAAACAGGAUUAGAUACCCUGGUAGGAUAGCG
This 452-nucleotide ribosomal RNA is filed under the name uncultured bacterium. RNAcentral describes it as "bacterial SSU rRNA". It matches the Rfam family "Bacterial small subunit ribosomal RNA", at positions 334 to 799 of the family's 1533-position model. The record is from RNAcentral.